CCCUGCCAUUUGUACACACCGCCCGUCGUUGUUUCCGAUGAUGGUGCAAUGCAGGUGAUCGGACAUUCGGAAGUUCUGCUUCUGUUUGGAAGUUCACCGACAUUUCUUCAAUAGAGGAAGCAAAAGUC
Molecule: ribosomal RNA, 128 nt
Filed under: uncultured eukaryote
Lineage: Eukaryota
Description: partial small subunit ribosomal RNA
Rfam family: Eukaryotic small subunit ribosomal RNA
Source: RNAcentral